GUACCGAUCGAGAACCAGAGGAGGCUGAUGGACGCGGGAAGGGGAGCACUGAAGGACGGCAAUGAUGGGGAGUAUCCAGAGUGGUUGGGGGAGAGAGAGAGAGAGGGAGUUGCUGGAGAUGCCGGCGGCAGAGAUAUAGGCGGACAUAGUGGUGGCGAAGGACGGAGGGAACGGGACGCACAAGACCAUCGCGGAGGCGAUCAAGAAGGCGCCGGAUAACCAGUAAUCGGAGGACCAUCAUCUACAUGCGAGCUGGGAGCUUCUCCAUUUCAGGUACGAGGAGGAUAACUUGAAGGUGGUGAGGAAGAAGAGGAACCUCAUGUUCAUCGGCGACGGGAAGGGCAAAACAUUCAUAAUGGGCGGCAAAAGUGUCGCCGACAAGAUGACCACGUUCCACACCGCCUCCUUCGGUAAGUUUCUUUUGCAAUCUUUUAUCCAAACUUCUAAAGUCAAAACUGCUGACUAGGUUAUGCCAAAUUAAACAAUGGCAUGGUGAUUAAUUAGAUAUAAAUUUAAUAAGACACUCUUAGAUCUUAAUUUGACAUUUAGAAUCACGAAAGACAUUCCUGUCAAUAUCGAACUUAGAAAUGUCAAUAAGAACAGAGGGGGUUAUUAGGAAUGCUUGA
Rhodamnia argentea is the source of this 626-nucleotide long non-coding RNA. RefSeq lists it as uncharacterized. The record is from RefSeq and is a predicted model, not a curated record. Lineage: Eukaryota; Viridiplantae; Streptophyta; Magnoliopsida; Myrtales; Myrtaceae. The transcript is spliced from 2 exons.